GGAAGGAUCAUUACCGGUAAAUUUUACCGAAAUCAAUUUUUUAUAACAACAACUCCGGUCAACUUUCACAUCAAACUCUACCAAGGGGAUAGUUGAUCGACUGGGUGUUCGGAUCCAGGAUAAUCACCCGAUCAUGAUAAAAAUUUAUUUUUAACCGAGCUUGUGGACUAACACCCCACAUUCUCAAACUUUACAAUUGCCGUCAGUGGAUAUCUCGGCUACCAGGUCGAUGAAGAGCGCAGCAAAAUGCGUUACCUAGUGUGACAUGCAUACACUCGUGAAUCACCGACAUCUUGAACGUAACUGACAAAGCUAGCUUACGCUUGCUUUAAUCACGGUCGAGUGUCAAUAAUUAAACUACAAAAGUGAGCGUUCGAUCUAACCCGUCGUCGCUUUAAAUUCAACCGUUAUAUACUGUAUGGGAUAAAAUUACCCCCAUAAUAAACACCAGUAUGUAUUCGGGAUUUGUUAAACCCGUGUAUUCGGGUGAAAAUUAUUGAUUCUUCGGAUAAAUUUGACCUCGGCCGUGAUAGACUACCCGCUGAAUUUAAGCAUAUCAAUAAGCGGAGGAAAAGAAAAUAACAAUGAUUCCCCUAGUAACUGCGAGUGAAACGGGAGAAGCGCAUCCUGAAUCCGGUGGUUUUUAAUCAUUGGAGUUGUGGGGUAGUGAACGUAACCAGAUAAGGGGUCAAGGUGAACUAACCUGAGAAGGUAGACCACAGAAGGUUAAAGUCCUGUAAUCUUGAUGACCAUGUCGUACGGUUGCGAUUCCGCGAGUCGCGUUGCCUGAGAUCGCAACGCUAACCGGGGGUAUGUUUCCCCGAACGCUAAAUAUUACUGGUAGACCGAUAGCGAACAAGUACCGUGAGGGAAAGGUCAAAAGAACUCUGGAAAGAGAGUGAAAAGAACUUGAAACUGACGUCAAGGAAGCGGUCUGGAAACUUGCGGCGGACCAUUUGGUUCCUGGUUAAUGUAUUUAGACAAGGUCAUACUUGUGCGGGGGAUAUCCUGUCAAGUACCUUUGUCUGGGUUUAUUAGCUGGUACUCCAAGUACCGUCACUCGAUAUACCGAUAAUUCUGCGAUAAAACUUGUCCUAGUAUGCUCGUAAGAGAUUACGGCAGAAACAGCGGUGGAAUAGCAGAAGUAUCGGUGAAAAAGUAGCAAGGGCCUUUAUUGGUAAUCCUAUGGGGUAACUUUGCUGUACUGUUGGUGCGACUCUUGAGACAAACCUCAGUGCGGUAAAUAUGACUUUUACGGAUAUCCUUGUUAUCGGGCAAAGUAUCCACACCGACCCGUCUUGAAACACGGACCAAGGAGUCCAACACCUAUGCGAGUUAAUCGGUAAUUAAACCGAUAAGCGAAAUGAAAGUGAUCCGGUGAAAUCUUUUAGAUGGCAACCGGUACCGACACGGUUAUUUAUAUCCGAGUUUGAGUAUGAGCACAGGUGUUGGGACCCGAAAGAUAGUGAACUAUACCCGGGCAGAGUGAAGCCAGAAGAAAUUCUGGUGGAAGCUCGUAGAGAUACUGACGUGCAAAUCGUUCUCGGGAUCCAGGUAUAGCGGCGAAAGACUAAUCGAACUGUCUAGUAGCUGGUUUCCAC
This 1601-nucleotide unclassified non-coding RNA is filed under the name uncultured fungus. Its description in RNAcentral is "sequence contains 18S rRNA gene, ITS1, 5.8S rRNA gene, ITS2, 28S rRNA gene". The stretch from base 516 to 1601 matches the Rfam family "Eukaryotic large subunit ribosomal RNA", at positions 1 to 961 of the family's 3401-position model. The record is from RNAcentral. Lineage: Eukaryota; Fungi.